This 73-nucleotide transfer RNA is filed under the name Stegodyphus mimosarum. It matches the Rfam family "tRNA". Rfam says of the family: Transfer RNA (tRNA) molecules are approximately 80 nucleotides in length. Their secondary structure includes four short double-helical elements and three loops (D, anti-codon, and T loops). The record is from Rfam by way of RNAcentral. Lineage: Eukaryota; Metazoa; Arthropoda; Arachnida; Araneae; Eresidae.
GCCUUCGUCAUGUAGUGGUCAGCACGCUCCGUGCAUGUUCGAGAGGUCCGAGGUUCGAGUCCCGGCGAGGGCA